This 218-nucleotide long non-coding RNA is filed under the name Malus domestica (apple). RNAcentral's name for it is "long non-coding RNA (MDOM_LNC006476)". The record is from RNAcentral. Lineage: Eukaryota; Viridiplantae; Streptophyta; Magnoliopsida; Rosales; Rosaceae.
AGACCUGUCUUGAGCCCUGGAACAAAGCCCAGUUAGCUAUAGGGCCAGCGGAGCGCCAGUGACGGUGAAUUUAAGUGCAUCUAUUUUAGGAUUCCUAUGGGUUUUAGCAAAAUUGGGGCUUUUCCUGGCCAAAUUGGCCUUGGUCACAAUCAAAGUUACUCUACUCAUUGAGAUCUUCAUUUCUGCAAAAUUGGGGCUUUUCUGGCGAGUCGAGACGG